This 244-nucleotide long non-coding RNA is filed under the name Olea europaea subsp. europaea. The record is from RNAcentral. Lineage: Eukaryota; Viridiplantae; Streptophyta; Magnoliopsida; Lamiales; Oleaceae.
AGUCGACUUACUUGCUCUGACAUCAGAAAAUAAUACCGAUAAACAACGAACUGCAGAAUUCCAAGUCAAAAUGCAGAUUGAACCUGUUUCGAAAAGUCACUUCAUUUAACUGAAAAAUCCAAGCUUCCUUUUCCCAAAAUUAACGGAACAUUAAAGCAGGUUCAACUAAAAGUGACGGAUUUAAGACUUCUCUUCAAUUUCACGAAAUUAUUUUACAAAAAUAUUUAGCUUUAUACCAGCUGAU